UGAAAUUUCCUUUUUGUUCUACUGUGAAAGUAAAAAUCUAAAAGGAAAAUAAUUAGCUAUUCAUACUCUUCUAACAUAGCCACGUGCUCACAUAAUAAAUGAAACAUUACCACAAAAAACUGCUAAAAUGACAUCCUUAUUGCAGGCCCAAUUUACUUAAUUUUAUGUCUUCCAACUGUUAAGACAAGGGCCACUCAUUCUAUAAGAUUAAUGGCUGAAAUAAAUUUAGAAUUUAAAAAUCAUGAGGAAAAUAUUUAUUCAUGCAAUGUAUGGCCAAUUUGUGGAAUUCGUUAGCCUGGGAGGUCAUAGAUUCAGUCAAGAUGAAUUAGAAAAGCUAGAUAAUUUUAUGACCAGUCAUAAUACUAUAGUUGUGAAUAUUAAGAAAAGGUACUAACAGAAUCUCAUGCUUCAGAGUACAAGCUGAUCAUCCUAGGAGCUUUGAAGGACUUCUCUUAUUUUUUUAUUGAUACUCUGAGCAAGUGGCUAGAUUCACAUUGAGGUUGUACCUCUUCUUGAAAGUAACUACUUUUGUGAACAGGAUACCACAUUUAGGUCACAUUGGGGUUUUGUUGUUGUUGUUGUCUUUGUGACAUCACCCAGGCUGGAGUGCAGUGGGGUGAUUAUGACUCAUUGCACCCUUGACCUCUAGGCUGAAGUGAUCUUCCUGCUUCAGCCUCCUAAAGUGCUGGGAUUACAGGCAUGAGCCACCAUGCCUGGCCUGUUUUGUUUUUGUUUUUGUUUUGUCUUUUUGUUAAUGAAAACCACAAGUGUCUGCUAAUACAAUACAAAAAGAACAAUGAAAUGACAUAUUUUUUUUAUCAAGUUUUACUGCAACUCCUGAUGCCAGAGAGAUGAACAAGAAGAUCCAGAGCAAAAACUACUUCAAAAUCUUCAUUAAUGAGUUUUAAGAAACCUUCCUAAAGCUUCUACUAUUAUAAGAAGUACUGGAAAAAACUUGAGGGAAGAGGAAAAAAAAUUAAAAGCAGCUUAAGAAAGGGCCAGACUUUGAAAUAUUGCAAUAUUAAAAUAUUUUAAAUCUCUGCUUUGAUUUUGUCCUCUGAAAAUACUUUAUACUGGAAGAUUCUGCUUUAACUUUGAGUUUACUGAAAGACUAAAUCACCCUUCAUUAGUGAGCACUGGUUUAAUUUUUCA
Molecule: long non-coding RNA, 1152 nt
Filed under: Callithrix jacchus (white-tufted-ear marmoset)
Lineage: Eukaryota; Metazoa; Chordata; Mammalia; Primates; Cebidae
Description: lncRNA (ENSCJAG00000080884.1)
Source: RNAcentral